Molecule: long non-coding RNA, 1560 nt
Organism: Anolis carolinensis (green anole)
Lineage: Eukaryota; Metazoa; Chordata; Lepidosauria; Squamata; Anolidae
Exons: 3
Source: RefSeq, a predicted model, not a curated record
GAGCCAUGGUGGUUAAAGUGGUGACGAACUAAUUUUGCAGAGAUUUCUUCCAGGCAUUCAAAAUGUGAAAUCUAAAAUAUCAUACAUGAAAAUGCUUUCUUUAAAAUGGGAGGGGGGGGAGAGAGAAUGGCAUUCCUUCAAACUGCCUCAAUUGAACAGGCACCAUUCAAAUUUAUUUUCUGUUCUGCUGCUUUAAAAAUAUCCCAAUUUCUUUGUCCUUACCAAACUUUCUUUAAAUUGCUGCAAAUUCAUUUAAGGUGCCAAAGCAGUGUACAUUUAACUUGGGAUGGAAUCUUGCCCUUACAAGCAGACUCAUGGAACAGCAUACUUGUGUAUACAUCUUCAUCUUGAUCAUACUAUGUUGUUGUUGUCCACACAUAUUCCACUUUUCAGCUAUGAAAUGCUGGAGGAUAUGAGAGUAAGGGUGGCCUUCCAGAUGUCGCUGGAAUACAAUUGCCACCAGUCAUGGCCAGCAUAACCAGUAGUGCAGAGUUGCAUUUUAAUAACUCCUGGAAGGACUGAACAUUUUCCACCCCUGACCUCACUGGUGCUACUACGUAUAAGUAUUUACAGGAUCAGUAACCAACAGUGCCCCUCCCACAAAGGAAACUAUUAUUAGGUCACUAAAUUUAAAUAAUUAACCCAAAUCACUCAAAUUAACUGAGUACAAUUACUACAAAUAAAGAGAAAAUUAUCUUGAUAAAGAUUUGAGCAUUCACUUUUUUCCUAGCUUAGCUUCUAGAGAGAGAUUUUUUGAACUUGCUUUACAUCAAGAGAGAAAUGCUGGACUCUGAUUAUAUAGAAUCAGAUGAAGAGGUUUCCACAAACAAAGACAGGCAUUCUCGCCUUGGGGAGGAUAACCUGGAUGAUACACUGGAAUUGGAUUUUUCAUGCCGAAAUUUGAGAGCAGAAGAGUUCAAAGAAUUUCAUACAAAGGACAGUAGCUUAUUGGCUGAUCAAGACAUUGGUCAUGAGGUUAAAGCCAAGGUAGAGGAGCACCAGGAUUCAAAACAGAUGGCAAAAGCUAUCCCUCAGAUUCUUCUCCUUAGAAAUGAGAACCAUAAGGAUCUAAUUCCCUCUGUCUCUUCUCUAGAUGCUACUAAUAUGCUCGAAAUCAAAGGAAGUAUUGAAAGUUCCUAUGAUAAUGCAUACUGAGAACUCACACUCUUAUCAGUCUUCUAUCACUUUGCUUCACAUGCUCACUUGUGUAUCUCCUUCAGGGCCUAAUUCUAAUUUUUGUUUCUAGAGAAUUACAAAAUUAAAAUUUCAAGCGGCACUGUGUAACAGGACAUAAUAAUGGAACCAAUUCUCCAUAUUAAAAACUUUUGGGGAGUAUAUGUGGGUCACAAAAUGCAAUGAGGAAAAUAGUGUUUACAAAGCCAAUGUCCUUGUUUCUAGAACUUUUUUAUUCAGAAUAAUUUAAAUAAUUACUGAUUAACAGUAAUUAUACUAAUAAAUAUAAUGCAAGGUUUUAAACUUUGUUUAUGGUUUUUCUAUGUAUUAUAACUGUAUUCUCAAUUUGCUUUUGGCAUGAUAGAUAAAUAAAUAAAUAAAUAAAUA